This 380-nucleotide ribosomal RNA is filed under the name uncultured eukaryote. Its description in RNAcentral is "partial 18S ribosomal RNA". It matches the Rfam family "Eukaryotic small subunit ribosomal RNA", at positions 592 to 976 of the family's 1831-position model. The record is from RNAcentral.
CAAUAGCGUAUAUUAAAGUUGUUGCAGUUAAAAAGCUCGUAGUUGGAUUUGUGGCUGUCACGGGCGGCCUAUCACUUAGUGUUAGUGCUUGCCUGUGUCGCCAUCCUUGGGUGGAGCCCGUGUGGCAUUAGGUUGUCGUGCGGGGGAUGCCCAUCGUUUACUGUGAGAAAAUUAGAGUGUUCAAAGCAGGCUUAUGCCAUUGGAUAUGUUAGCAUGGAAUAAUAAGAUAGGACCUCGGUACUAUUUUGUUGGUUUGCGCACCGAGGUAAUGAUUAAUAGGGACAGUUGGGGGUAUUCGUAUUUCAUUGUCAGAGGUGAAAUUCUUGGAUUUCUGAAAGACGAACUACUGCGAAAGCAUUUACCAAGGAUGUUUUCAUUAA